CUAAUAGUCGAAGACUGAAGCCCUGAUUCUCAUCUGAAGGAGCUCUAGGACUUAAGGGAGUGAAAGGGGGAACUCAGUGCACAUGACAUUGAUGGGCUGAGAAAAAUUCCUAUUUAGAAAUCUGAUGCAAAAGCCAAAGUCAUCGUUCUCAAAUCCAGACUUGAUUCUAACUCAUUGGCCAAACUAGUGCUUCUGCACAGGCUUUGGGAGGGACAGUUGGUUAUCAAGAACGAAGAGGUUCCUGACUUUGAAGG
Molecule: long non-coding RNA, 254 nt
Organism: Bos indicus x Bos taurus (hybrid cattle)
Lineage: Eukaryota; Metazoa; Chordata; Mammalia; Artiodactyla; Bovidae
Source: Ensembl